UACGGGGGGAGCAAGCGUUGUUCGGAUUUACUGGGCGUAAAGGGCGCGUAGGCGGCCAGCGCAAGUCAGUUGUGAAAUCUCCGAGCUUAACUCGGAAAGGUCAACUGAUACUGCGCGGCUAGAGUGCGGAAGGGGCAACUGGAAUUCUCGGUGUAGCGGUGAAAUGCGUAGAUAUCGAGAGGAACACCUGCGGCGAAGGCGGGUUGCUGGGCCGACACUGACGCUGAGGCGCGAAAGCUAGGGGAGCGAACGGG
RNAcentral lists this ribosomal RNA (254 nucleotides) under uncultured bacterium. RNAcentral describes it as "partial 16S ribosomal RNA". It matches the Rfam family "Bacterial small subunit ribosomal RNA", at positions 524 to 776 of the family's 1533-position model. The record is from RNAcentral.